UUCAAUUGUUGGCUCGAGCGUUUGCUCGUCCGAYUCCGGUUUYCCUGUGCUGGCUACCUAUCGAGACGGMAUUGAGUCGGCUAUAAUCGUUCUUUUCCCACCUCGUUCUGCCGCUCCACCUGGGGCGGCGGCACAAGGUGGGCCAAAUCRCGCACGUUGCRUGUCGCACCGCGUUCGCCKUCACCGGCGUUCGGGUUGACGACCCGCAGCGUUAUGCUYGAUCUCUCGGGURCGGUGCAUGAUGUGGGUACGAGGCCSWCGGCCUCCGAUCUCCACAAACAAGCGUUCUAGCGCUUCGUGCGAACGACUGUCGGUUCGGAUUC
RNAcentral lists this unclassified non-coding RNA (323 nucleotides) under Salvia santanae. RNAcentral describes it as "partial external transcribed spacer". Lineage: Eukaryota; Viridiplantae; Streptophyta; Magnoliopsida; Lamiales; Lamiaceae. The record is from RNAcentral.